CUCUUUGCUGACUGUGGGCCUACCAUAGGAACAACUAUCUGUGAUGUUGCUCCACCUAUUUCCUGACUUCUGUCUCAGUCUCUUCCUAUGUUUUCAAGGAGCAAGACUAGCAUCACAAGCGUGAGUUUUGGAGUCAAAGGUCAGAAGUUGUCCUGUCUGAGGACAAGAGCUGCACCAGAUGACUUCUCAAGAUCCCUUUGACCCUUAUGAUUGUCUACUGGCAUAAAUAUAAGGGUUUGUUCAGUUUCCUAUUUGAACUGAAUUUCCUUAUAACCAUUUCUGAUUAGCAUAUCGAUCACAAAAGUACCACUGUAAAGGAUAGAACAUGAGUCAUUAUUUUUACUUUCUUUUGCCCCGAAUCUGUCAAUUAUACUGUAAGCAUUUAUCUUCUGUCACUUAAAGUGGUUUUAAAACCUCUGUGAGUUCUUACUUGUUUGAGGAAAUUGGAGCAGGUUUUCAGGACAAUCCUUAAACUGACUAUAUAUGAAAAAAAAAAAAA
Molecule: long non-coding RNA, 499 nt
Filed under: Homo sapiens (human)
Lineage: Eukaryota; Metazoa; Chordata; Mammalia; Primates; Hominidae
Description: HSALNT0408396
Source: RNAcentral